CAGGAAACCGUGGUAGCCAUCGCCAAUUCCUGUGGCGGGCACCGGUAACUGUGACUGCGUAUCAUAUAUCCGCCAAUGUCACGAUGGGGGUCGACGAAGUAUAAGUCUAAUUUAGCUUGCUGCGCUGAUUCUAAUGCGUUCAUCUGAAGCAACUUUAUUACCUAUACAAUAAGUAACGGUGCUAUUGUCAAAAAGAGGACGACCCUUAUUAAGGUACAAGGAUUACACAUACUCUAAGUACCCAUAUCCCCCGAAGAUUGGUCUCCGAUGGUACUGUUCCAAGGUGAAGAACUGCAGAGCCUACCUUCUCACUACUCACGACUACAUCGUCAUACAUUCUACGGGAAACCACAACCAUGAACCGUUAACUGAUAGGAUUGAUAAAGCACUUUAUAAAUACAAGUUCGACUUCUGCGUUCGAGAAAAAAUCGCCCUCUUCUGUUGUAUAGAAGCUACACCUACAACCUACACAAAUCCUCGAGAAUUAACAAGCGAUGGCUGUGCUCCUCACGAAAAUCCAAGGCAUGCAAAGCCAGCAUUACUACCGACAAUACGGGGCAGAUUAUCAGAAAAUCAUUCUUAUGCCACAAUCAUGUAGUCAAGAAUUUCUACAUUACGAAGGACGGGUCGUUCUAUAAUAUUUGAAUUUUCUUCAGUACGCUAUAAAUAAUAAAUAAAAAACACAACAAUAUUGCACGUUGAAACCAAUCAAAUUUAAAAUUAUUUUCAGAGACAUUAAAGCUCAUUUACCGAAAGUUAACUUUUAUGUUACAGUAUUGGUUUCAACGUGUCAUAUCGUCGCCUUACUUUCUCAAACUCGUAUCUUAAAACACAAAGUUACAGAAAUGCAAAAAAAUAUUUGUUAUACAAAUUUGGCUGGCUGAUUUCACUUCACGUUUCCUUCAUAUUCACACACUGUUUACCUAUACUUAAAGUAAUGCAUUCAAAUUAAC
Molecule: long non-coding RNA, 953 nt
Organism: Hyposmocoma kahamanoa
Lineage: Eukaryota; Metazoa; Arthropoda; Insecta; Lepidoptera; Cosmopterigidae
Exons: 3
Source: RefSeq, a predicted model, not a curated record